Molecule: small RNA, 174 nt
Filed under: Enterococcus saccharolyticus
Lineage: Bacteria; Bacillati; Bacillota; Bacilli; Lactobacillales; Enterococcaceae
Also listed under: 1 other name
Description: Magnesium sequence
Rfam family: M-box riboswitch aptamer (ykoK leader)
About the family: M-box riboswitch, also know as ykoK leader is described as a metaloregulatory RNA that sense divalent metals and function as a genetic control element of genes related to divalent metal transport in bacteria.
Source: RNAcentral
UAAAAUAAUUGUUAGGUGAGGCUCCUAUAUGGACACAGGCUGCUGCCGCGAAAGGAUCGAGAGACCCUUAGUUUGGUAAAACAGGAAUAAUCGUUGAAGGUUAUUCAUAACGUAGCUGACAAAUACUUAUUUGUCUACGCCCUAUAGUGCUAAAGCUCAACGAUGACUAUGAAU